Molecule: ribosomal RNA, 295 nt
Filed under: uncultured bacterium
Lineage: Bacteria
Description: partial 16S ribosomal RNA
Rfam family: Bacterial small subunit ribosomal RNA
Source: RNAcentral
GGUAGUCCACGCCGUAAACGAUGGCCACUAGGUGUGGGGGUAUCGACCCCCUCCGCGCCGCAGCUAACGCGAUAAGUGGCCCGCCUGGGGAGUACGGCCGCAAGGCUAAAACUCAAAGGAAUUGACGGGGCCCGCACAAGCAGCGGAGCGUGUGGUUUAAUUCGACGCAACGCGAAGAACCUUACCAGGGCUUGACAUGCCCGGUUUCAGCCCCGGAAACGGGUGUCCCGCAAGGGAGACGGGCACAGGUGCUGCACGGCUGUCGUCAGCUCGUGCCGUGAGGUGUUGGGUUAAG